This 533-nucleotide long non-coding RNA is filed under the name Struthio camelus australis. RNAcentral describes it as "lncRNA (ENSSCUG00000005470.1)". The record is from RNAcentral. Lineage: Eukaryota; Metazoa; Chordata; Aves; Struthioniformes; Struthionidae.
AAUGAUAUCACUCUUUUUAUAGGCACAUAAUUUAUCCAAAGAGCACUGCAGAGUUAACAGAUCUUGUAUUUUAAGUGCUUAAUUAGUAACUAAAGAAUAAAGUCAGAAAAAUUCAGUUCAUUAUUUGUCAUGGAUACAGAAUAUGUUCCACUUUACCGUGUACAUUUAUAUUAAGACUUUGCACUUUCGCAGUUCAUAGGUCAAGAUUAAUCAGUUGUGACCUUGGAACACAGCUCUUCUCUUCAUCAGAGCCUUUGUCCCUGAAGAGCUUAAUACACUCCUGUAUGAGUUUACAUCAUGUAUGGACUUUGAUGCUGGAAAGCUCCUGGAAACAGAAGCUCAUGGUUAAACUGGUGAGUCUGCAAAUGCACGAAACCUCCCUCUGGAAAUUGUGCAGAGGGUUUAUACUUUGCUAAGCAAGCUCAUGAAAGAGCUUUGAGUUAUUAAGGUGAAAAGAGAUGCACUGAAGGCAUUGGGUUGUAGCAGUGUGUGGGUCCAUCUACUGGUUGUACUAAAAAAUUGUUAGUUGUCUC